AUUAUAGUUGAUGCAUUAUCCACAUUACAAUAAUUAAAACUGCAAGUGACAAACCAGUGUCAAAGUUAUUUAAUCAAAAGACUAUAAAGUAUAACAUUUUCAGAAUUUGAAAUGUUUGCAAACAUAAAAUCAUUUUAACAUAUUUAAGCCAGUCAUAAAUAUGAUAUAAUGGUGGUGUUUUAAUUCCUGAACUAAGCAAAACAAUAAUAUAUGGUUAACGAUAAGAAUAUGUGGACCUUUUCUACAAACCGUCAACAUAAUGUUCCACUCCGGGAGGAACAGUGCAUCUAACAUAAAUAAUAUUACCAGAAAUAGUUCAAGUCAACAGUAUUUUUUUUUUCCAUUUUAAAGGUCAUUAUAUUACCCAUUGAGUGCACACAAGAUUUUUCUUAAAACUCAAUGUAUUUUGCUUUUAAUAAUUACAAUCAACACCAG
This 435-nucleotide long non-coding RNA is filed under the name Mytilus galloprovincialis (Mediterranean mussel). Lineage: Eukaryota; Metazoa; Mollusca; Bivalvia; Mytilida; Mytilidae. The record is from RNAcentral.